UAGGGAAUCUUCGGCAAUGGGGGCAACCCUGACCGAGCAACGCCGCGUGAGUGAAGAAGGUUUUCGGAUCGUAAAGCUCUGUUGUAAGAGAAGAACGUGUGUGAGAGUGGAAAGUUCACACAGUGACGGUAACUUACCAGAAAGGGACGGCUAACUACGUGCCAGCAGCCGCGGUAAUACGUAGGUCCCGAGCGUUGUCCGGAUUUAUUGGGCGUAAAGCGAGCGCAGGCGGUUUAAUAAGUCUGAAGUUAAAGGCAGUGGCUUAACCAUUGUUCGCUUUGGAAACUGUUAAACUUGAGUGCAGAAGGGGAGAGUGGAAUUCCAUGUGUAGCGGUGAAAUGCGUAGAUAUAUGGAGGAACACCGGUGGCAAAAGCGGCUCUCUGGUCUGUAACUGACGCUGAGGCUCGAAAGCGUGGGGAGCAAACAGG
RNAcentral lists this ribosomal RNA (429 nucleotides) under bacterium. RNAcentral's name for it is "partial 16S ribosomal RNA". It matches the Rfam family "Bacterial small subunit ribosomal RNA", at positions 355 to 776 of the family's 1533-position model. The record is from RNAcentral.